Non-coding RNA from Lolium perenne, 484 nucleotides. NCBI's taxonomy places the organism in Eukaryota, Viridiplantae, Streptophyta, Magnoliopsida, Poales, Poaceae. The record is from RefSeq and is a predicted model, not a curated record.
UUGAGUAUACACGCUAGGUGCUCAGGAAAAUUCCCAGCGUCUGUGAAACCAAGUCAAUGGCUCCAGCAUGCUACGGAUGAUGAUGCCAAUGGAUGUGGCUUCGCCUCCCCCACAUGCCCCGCUUGGCAUCUUGAUCUGUGCUGGACUAUAAUUGGGAGGCCGAUGAUUUCUCCCCUCUCCGCACCAAUACCAUGGUUGCAUGAUAAGGUCCCUAUGGUUGAGAAAAUGCUAUCAAGAAAAGGAUUAUCUACUGAAUGCAUAGAAGCUUCGGUUCCUGUUCAUCUACAUUAAUUCUACUUAGAUGACUAUACUCAUGAGGAUAUGUACUGAGUAAUGAGUACGCAUAGAUAGCUUCGGUUCCUGGCCAUCUACAUUCUACUUAGAAGACUAUAACUCACAAGGUCUCGAGUUGAAGGUUGCACUCCCUCUAAGACACAGUCAUUGCGAUGCUUCCAAAAUCAUCCAUGACACCAGCAGCGUCGCA